UUUUUUUUUUUUUUUUUUUUUUUUUUUUUUGUGACAGGAGCAUGUUACCAAGAGCUUAUACGCGCUUACGUGGUUAUAUGGUAGAAAAUGAAAUUUUCCUAUUGUAGUAAAGAUAAGGAAGAAGUCCUAAAUCACGGUCUUUAAAUAGGUAAAGAGAAGAUUGACUCUCUUGCACAAGUGGAGUUUUUUUCAUUAGAGAAUGGUAAUGGCAUGUGCAGCGAAAGGCUACAAAGCAGAGAACAUGUUUGCCUAUGGUGGUAACUGGAUAGUUGUAAUUAUUAGAGUCUGCAGAAAUUCUUACGGCUUCAAUUUUCUCAGUGAAGUAGGAAGAAAAGCAAUUGGUGAGUGACAACAGUAAAACAGCUAAUGUGGUUUGAGUGGAGAGGAGGAAGUAUAAAAUGAUUAUGUAGGAUAGCUGUAGAGCUAAUGGACUAGCAACUUUCUGCAUGCCUGCUGUGCAGAAAGGAUCCAUGGGAUGUCUAUAGGCAAGAAAUUAAAGAAUUUUUAGUGUGGCUUCAUGUUUUACUCCCACAUUUUGCCAAAAGGAUAGAUAGGCACAGAAUAUGGAGGAUAGUAGCAGCAGUACUUCUCAAAAUAACUCCACAAUUUAUAACUGAUACUACUUGGUAAACACGGUUUCAAUCCUAGGUCUGAGGAAAACAAAGUGAUCAAGGGCCACAGCAAGACUACUGACUUUGGUUUCAUGUGAAUUAAUUUGCAUUUCUGAGAAAUGGGCAGAGGUUGAGAAAAACAAGACACUAACGAAGGCAUUUUAGAUAUUUGCCUGUGGAAUCUCACAGCCUAAGUGCUUAGGUGACAGUAAGACACAACUGUCUGGAGUCUAGGACUCAGGAAAGCAUUAUGCACUAGAAAUGGAAAUUGAAAAUAUUUUAGCACAUAGAGGCAAUUUAAUUGGGAAGAAUUACAUGAUCCAAGAGGACUACCUAGAAUUAGAAGACAAUGACCUAGAAUCAAACUUAGCAGAACAUAAUAUUUACGAAAUGUUCAGAUAAUAAGCAGGUAGCAGAGGACACCAAAAGGAGAUCUCAAGAGCUAGGAGGGAAAUUCUAAACACACAGGAAGUGAUUGUUUAAAAAUCAAUAUUAAUGGGUGAAAUAGAUGGUCCAAUGUGACCUAAAGUGUAUAGACUGUUCCAGGUCAUUAGCAUAUUUGAAGCUUACUAAAUGUGCAAAAUGUUAAUUGCAUGCAUAGUAUUGGUAUUGGCCCCAUGCAAUUAACAUUUUGCACAUUCUAGCCAUUUCUAGUGCUAAUUUUCUAGCCAUAUUAAUUUCUUCUAGUGCUAGAAGAAAUUCUAGCCAUUUCUAGUGCUAAUUUUCUAGCCAUAUUAAUAGCCAGAUGCUAUAAUUUAAAAAAUAAAAAAUUAAAUAUUUAGAUCCUUAUUAUUUGUGGAAUGUUUAAUGUAUUAGAUUUAUUUUUAAGUGACAUAUUCCUUGAAAGGUUUAAGGAGAUUUAAUUUACUACUUGUUGCAGUUUUUUAAAUUAAAUUUUGAGAUCUCAGAUAUAAAUGUGGGACUACUAAUAUAAUUUAUUUUAAUGAAGGAUGAUAUUUUAUCAAUAUUUUUAGAUCAAGGCUUACAUGUACCUUUUUAACUUUCUGAAAUUAAAGUGAUCUUAUUUGGGAAGAAAAAACAGAUUUCUGCAAUUUCCAAAUGGAAUAAUAAAUUGCUAUUGUCAGAUUUUGUAUUCCUUCAAAGGGAAAAUUACUAUCAUUCAAUUUCAUGUAUCUAAAAGUUUUCCCACAAGUCCUAACAUUUGUUGAUAUUUUUCAAUGAAGUAUGGAUUUGAUUCUCCUCUCAGUUUUGGUCUUCAUUCGAGAACUUAAAAUCUAAAUUAAACUUUAAAUAGUGAAUACUUUCUGAAAUAGUUCUGAGAAAGCUGAGUUCUUUUGCUUAUUAUUUUCUUAGGUCAGCUAUGUUAAAGAUAUCUUACUUUUUAAUUUUUGAAUAGUCACAGUUAUAAGUCAUAAGAAAUAAUGAUGGAACAGACAUCAUAAUCAUAGCUAAAAAUGAAAAGUUGGUUGUUUUUUAUAUUAGUUAGAUUUAACUAUUAUUAGUUCAUCAUUACACAGAGCUUUACCUCCAAGAAUCCCUGGAAUUAAGGUUAUAGGACAUUAAUGAGAGGCCUAGGAAAGAAAUGAUACUUACAUGCAAACUCUGAAAUAAUAUGCACAUUCCACAUACUUUUCUGUUAAAUGAAAUAUUUAAGAGACAAAUCAGGAGAAAUCAUGAGCUGCCAUUUUUAUGCCUAUUAAUCCUCACUCCUCACAUUUUACUAAAAAGCACUUCUUUGAAACAUUCUGAUAGACCCAAGGAGGAUUAAACCACAUUCAUCCAUCUGUGUAACUUUAAUAAAAUAACCAGAUUUUAAACUUGCAAAUAUUUUUUUUUUAAACUUGCAAAUAUUAAACACAAACAGAAUUGAAAAUCUUGUCUUUGGAAGAGACUUGAUGUAAAAAGUUUUAGAUACAACUUUUCAGUUCUUUGAAAAGAGAGUGAGUGGAUAAGUUUGUGGACAUGAAAUGAGGACUUCUAUCAGAAAGGAGCAGGCUUUUAUUGCUAGAUAGACGCAGCAGAAGCUUAGAAAAGUGUGAAUAAAGGGAAUGAAAUGCAAUAAAGUAAAAUUUUACUCAUUUUAAUCCAGACUCUAUUAGCAGGUAUUUACAUGUGCCAUCAUUUUAUGUCUAAUGAAAUAAAUGUUGAAGUUUCCUUGUGCCGAGGCAUCACAUACACAGACCUCAAUGUUCAUUAUAGACUAAUCAAAUUUCUCUCUGAAGUUAUUAAAUUUCAGUUCAAUCCCUAACUAAAACUACUCUCUUCAAAUGGCAGGAAGGUACCUGACAAAAAUACAGUGGAGAAUGAGAGAGAACAACUUCAUGAACUAGCUUCCACCUAAUUUCUCAAUGUCAUCCUAACAAUAUUAUAAUCAUGUAUAUUUAUAUGUGGGAAACUCAAGAGUGACAUUACCAGAAUUGGUAGUACUUGUAUAAUGUAAAAAUAACUAAGUUUGUGUAUUUAUUAGAUGCAGAGCUAAAUUAUGUAUUAAAUUAUAAGGAAUCUACAAAAUAAUUAAACACAUAGUUUUUUCAAAAGUGGAUUUUUAAUUAUUGUUUAAUAUUCAAUCAAAGAGAAAGAUGCAACAAAUAUUGAAUUAUUUUAGAGAUAUUUUUGACAAACUUCUGAAUUUAUGUGCUCAUAUUGAAUUAGGUUAUUUUCACAAAUGUCAAUUUUGUAUCAGUUGUCAUCAUUUAUAGGACAAUUUCUACAUCAAUUUUUUAUCUGAUAUAGACAUGUCACAGUUCAUGCUAAGAAAGCAAUGUCUAUAAACAAUCUGUUGUUAAUUUGAGUCCAGUCUGUUUAUGAAAGUGGACCAGAGUAGAAGUCUUACUUUCAAAGAUUUGUCAUUCUCCAUUCCAACUUGAUGUUUCUGUUACAUUCCAAUUCAGUUCUAUCAACUAUUUCUUCCUACAGCUGGCUGGAUUUUAGUCAGAAACCCAAAGAAAUUUAAGGGAGCAGAAUGAGAAAUAAUUGAAAAGGUAUAGAUAAAACAUAGCAACAAAAAGACUUAGAAAACUCCCUAAUGAAUGUUUGACAUUUUCAAAUUCCUUUAUGAUAUUCGUGAGAAAGAUACAAAUUAUGCCACUAAUUGAUUGAAGUAAAUUCAGUGAAAAAACUAAUCUAUACUUAAUAUAUAACCUGAAGGGAAGGUUUUGAAUUAUCAAUGUUAAAAUUUUCAAGUUUGAAAACUUUUAAGAUUGAAUAAAAAGCUUGUACUUAGAUGUUUGGAUUUGUAUACCUUUUUGUCCCAGGAAUUAAUAUUUCAAGAAAAGUAAAUUUUAGUUAAAUAUUUGUAGGAAUAUUCACUAAUGGCAAGUUCCACAUUGCCAUUAGUAAAAAUCUUUAGCCUAUCAAAAAUAUCGCGAACAUAUCUACCUAUUGCAUUCAAUAUAUAUCUCUGGGGGCAUUAAAAUAAAUUAAUUUGGGAUGCCUGGUGGCUCAGCAGUUGAACAUCUGCCUUCGGCUCAGGGUGUGAUCCUCGAGUCCUGGGAUGGAGUCCCACAUUGGGCUCCCUGAAUGGAGCCUGCUUCUCCUUCUGCCUAUGUAUGUCUCUGCCUCUCUCUCUCUCUGUCUCUCUCAUGAAUAAAUAAUAUCUUUUAAAAAAUAAUUCUUGUCAUGAAAGGUGGACAAAAAUCUUAUCUAUUUUUGUUCUCUUUAUCAUAUUUUAAACAACUUUAAAAGAUCCCUCUGGGCUAGUAUUAAUAUAAAUUAUUUGAGGGCUUGCAUUGAGGCUAAUUCCCCUUCUGAAUUUCAACCAUUCCUUUCCUGAAACAUGUUGAAAUGACCUGAAAGUUUGUUGUCAUAGCAGGAAAAGACAUCAUUGUCCAACUUCAAUAAAUUAUAAGAAAAAAACAAACAGGUUGUGUGUUGGUCUAUACGCAUAGAGUAAUUUUUCUCUUAAAGUUUCUAUGGGAUUGUUUUGCAAUUAAUUACAUAUACCAAUGAAGGCAGAUGAUAGAAAAGGUUUACUACAUGUUCCUGGGGAAAAUUUUUAUAUUUGCACCAAUAAUGUAUGGGCAAAUUCUGUAUUCUACAUUCUCAGACUCCAUUACUGAUUUUUCAUCUUUACUAAUCC
This 4650-nucleotide long non-coding RNA is filed under the name Canis lupus familiaris (dog). RNAcentral describes it as "lncRNA (ENSCAFG00000053435.1, ENSCAFG00845029409.1)". Lineage: Eukaryota; Metazoa; Chordata; Mammalia; Carnivora; Canidae. The record is from RNAcentral.